AUUGAACGCUGGCGGCAGGCCUAACACAUGCAAGUCGAGCGGAUGAAGGGAGCUUGCUCCUGGAUUCAGCGGCGGACGGGUGAGUAAUGCCUAGGAAUCUGCCUGGUAGUGGGGGAUAACGUCCGGAAACGGGCGCUAAUACCGCAUACGUCCUGAGGGAGAAAGUGGGGGAUCUUCGGACCUCACGCUAUCAGAUGAGCCUAGGUCGGAUUAGCUAGUUGGUGGGGUAAAGGCCUACCAAGGCGACGAUCCGUAACUGGUCUGAGAGGAUGAUCAGUCACACUGGAACUGAGACACGGUCCAGACUCCUACGGGAGGCAGCAGUGGGGAAUAUUGGACAAUGGGCGAAAGCCUGAUCCAGCCAUGCCGCGUGUGUGAAGAAGGUCUUCGGAUUGUAAAGCACUUUAAGUUGGAGGAAGGGCAGUAAGUUAAUACCUUGCUGUUUUGACGUUACCAACAGAAUAAGCACCGGCUAACUUCGUG
RNAcentral lists this ribosomal RNA (483 nucleotides) under uncultured bacterium. Its description in RNAcentral is "partial 16S ribosomal RNA". It matches the Rfam family "Bacterial small subunit ribosomal RNA", at positions 30 to 507 of the family's 1533-position model. The record is from RNAcentral.